Molecule: ribosomal RNA, 861 nt
Filed under: Amanita pseudopantherina
Lineage: Eukaryota; Fungi; Basidiomycota; Agaricomycetes; Agaricales; Amanitaceae
Description: eukaryotic LSU rRNA
Rfam family: Eukaryotic large subunit ribosomal RNA
Source: RNAcentral
CUAACAAGGAUUCCCCUAGUAACUGCGAGUGAAGAGGGAAGAGCUCAAAUUUGAAAUCUGGCAGUGUUUUGCUGUCCGAGUUGUAAUCUAGAGAAGUGCUGCCCGUGCUGGACCAUGUACAAGUCUCCUGGAAUGGAGCGUCACAGAGGGUGAGAAUCCCGUCUUUGACAUGGACUGCCAGUGCAUUUGUGGUGUGCUCUCAAAGAGUCGAGUUGUUUGGGAAUGCAGCUCUAAAUGGGUGGUAAACUCCAUCUAAAGCUAAAUAUUGGCGAGAGACCGAUAGCGAACAAGUACCGUGAGGGAAAGAUGAAAAGAACUUUGGAAAGAGAGUUAAACAGUAUGUGAAAUUGUUGAAAGGGAAACGCUUAAAGUCAGUCGUGUCGGCCAGGGAUCAACUCAGUAUUAUCUGCUGGGUGUAUUUCCUGAUCUGAUGGGCCAACAUCAGUUUUGACUGCUGGAAAAGGACAGAGGGAAUGUGGCACCUUUGGGUGUGUUAUAGCUCUCUGUCGGAUGCAGUGGUUGGGACUGAGGAAAGCAGCAUGCCGCAAGGCCGGGUCGUUUCGACCACGUUCAUGCUGAGGAUGUUGGCAUAAUGGCUUUAAUCGACCCGUCUUGAAACACGGACCAAGGAGUCUAACAUGCCUGCGAGUGUUUGGGUGGCAAACCCGAGUGCGGAAUGAAAGUGAAAGGUUGAGAUCCCUGUCAUGGGGAGCAUCGACGCCCGGACCUGAGCUCUUGCAAAGGAUCUGCGGUAGAGCAUGUAUGUUAGGACCCGAAAGAUGGUGAACUAUGCCUGAAUAGGGUGAAGCCAGAGGAAACUCUGGUGGAGGCUCGUAGCGAUUCUGACGUGCAAAUCGAUCG